UACGGAGGGUGCGAGCGUUGUCCGGAAUCAUUGGGCGUAAAGAGCUCGUAGGUGGUUUGUCGCGUUGUCCGUGAAAACUCACAACUCAAUUGUGGGCGUGCGGGCGAUACGGGCAGACUGGAGUACUGCAGGGGAGACUGGAAUUCCUGGUGUAGCGGUGGAAUGCGCAGAUAUCCAAAGGAACACCGGUGGCGAAAGCGGCGCGCUGGACCUCUACUGACGCUGAGGCGCGAAAGCCAGGGGAGCAAACGGG
RNAcentral lists this ribosomal RNA (253 nucleotides) under uncultured bacterium. RNAcentral's name for it is "partial 16S ribosomal RNA". It matches the Rfam family "Bacterial small subunit ribosomal RNA", at positions 524 to 776 of the family's 1533-position model. The record is from RNAcentral.